Molecule: long non-coding RNA, 1686 nt
Organism: Catharus ustulatus (Swainson's thrush)
Lineage: Eukaryota; Metazoa; Chordata; Aves; Passeriformes; Turdidae
Exons: 3
Source: RefSeq, a predicted model, not a curated record
CAGAAAAGCUGUCUGCCGGAAAAGGGCAUUUUCAAAGUCACACAGCAUGAAUAUCUUCUUGUCAAGACCCAUUACAAGAAAAAAGUUAUCUGAUCUCACAGUGGAGCUGGAGUUUUUACUGGAGGCCUCCAUCCUGUGUUGGAGGCUGCCUCACACAUUGCCACUGCUGAUGCUGAAGUUUCCUUUCCUGUUUCAUCUCUAUCCAAGCAGUGGAUGGCUGAAUAGGAGCCUUGAGCAUGCUUUCCCAGUAAGGGAAAGUCUCUUCCCAGGACUGUAGGUAGGCACACCUCACUCUGACAAUCUGACUUAGAGGGAGUAAUGCUCAGACCUUUCUGCAGCUGUGCGUGAUGUGUAUGCUGUUGUGUGCUUCCUCAGGCACCUGGACAAGGAAGCAGACUGGACCUUUCAUAGACAUUGCUGUCCUCUGCCCAGCCCAGGAAGCACAAAGCAGCCUGGUCCCUAGCUGUCCCUGGAAUGUUCAGUUAUAAUUUGGCUGGUAAAGGCAGCUGGGCCUGGGAGCUGGGACAGCUCUGGUGUACCACACUGUGUAUAUGGGGCCACCCCUUUCCAUCUGCUAACACUACCCUUAAAAACGUGAAAUAUUUAUGUAUGAUGAGGCCAUUUAUCUUCAAGGGCAGACUCAGAGAACUGCUUUGUUGAAAUUAAAGUACCUAUAGUAAUUAACGACUUUUGCUGGUACUGAAUUCAAGUGGGAUGGAAUUGUGAGCCUGAGAAGAUUUUAGAUGUCAUUAACAAUCCCUUGUGUCGUCAUUCUUUCAGUCAUUCAUUGACACAGUCUUUCAAGAAAACGCACUUGCAGGAAUAAUUGGACUGUGCCUUGCACUCAAAUUCAAUACAACUUUUCCUUCAGUUGCUUUUUGUAAUUCAUGAUGAGGAAAGACUGAAAAAAGUUAAGAAUACAGAAAAUUUCUUUUUGUUUCAGAAUUGAAGAGACUAAUACCUCAAAAUGAUCUGCUACAGCACUUCAUGAAAAUCAGAUUUCAGUUGUCUUUGAGAGGAAGACAGAAUUGGAAAUGUUCAGAGUAGCAAUUUAUAAUAAACUACUUUGGAAACAAAUGUGACAGAAACAAUUUUAAUGAAAAGGAGUAAGGCUAGAAAACUCAGGUUAUGCUUUCAAAUUCUCUGAAGUCUCCAAAUGAGAUAUUUGCUACCUCAAUAACAAAUGCAAGAUCUGCACUUUGCAAAGAAAAUGUAACAAGUAAAAAAAAAUACGAUUGACCUGACAAAAAUCAGCAAGCAAAAUCAUGAACUGCUUAUGCAGAGGGCUUAUCCCGUUGUCCAAUGCAAGGUUUUUUGCCAUCACAUAUUUCUUUUUCUAGUUCUAUUUUUGCAUAUUUGUUGUUGUUUUAUUUUUCUUAUUUCUCCCUCAAACUUUAGUUCUUCUGGACAGACUUUCAUUUCCAUUCCUGUAUAAUCAGUGUCUUGCUCAUUAGGGACAUGGUGUAGCAUUUCAGAUUUUAAAUGCUCCUGACAGAACAAAAGAGAGCCUAUAUCAGUUACACAGCCUGGAAGUUAUUGUGUUGAUGUUUCAUGAAAUGAAGAGACUCUGCUGAUUUCAUUAUUCCUCUUGCAAACCUUUCAAUCUGUAUGAGAUAUGUGCUCAUUUUGUAUUUUUGCUACUAUUGCUAAUAUUCUUGUUUUACUUACUUGCAGUCAUCAUUACUG